This is a non-coding RNA of Paramuricea clavata, 88 nucleotides long. The record is from the annotation of a GenBank genome assembly. NCBI's taxonomy places the organism in Eukaryota, Metazoa, Cnidaria, Anthozoa, Malacalcyonacea, Plexauridae.
UUUUACAAAUUCCCGCCAAGCCAUAGUCACGUGAUCGUCAACAAGAACGAUCACGUGACUAUGGCUUGGCGGGAAUUUGUAAAAUAUC